GGGAAUCUGCCCUUGGGUUCGGAAUAACAGUUAGAAAUGACUGCUAAUACCGGAUGAUGUCUUCGGACCAAAGAUUUAUUGCCCAAGGAUGAGCCCGCGUCGGAUUAGCUAGUUGGUGAGGUAAAGGCUCACCAAGGCGACGAUCCGUAGCUGGUCUGAGAGGAUGAUCAGCCACACUGGGACUGAGACACGGCCCAGACUCCUACGGGAGGCAGCAGUGGGGAAUAUUGGACAAUGGGCGAAAGCCUGAUCCAGCAAUGCCGCGUGAGUGAUGAAGGCCUUAGGGUUGUAAAGCUCUUUUACCCGGGAUGAUAAUGACAGUACCGGGAGAAUAAGCCCCGGCUAACUCCGUGCCAGCAGCCGCGGUAAUACGGAGGGGGCUAGCGUUGUUCGGAAUUACUGGGCGUAAAGCGCACGUAGGCGGCUUUGUAAGUUAGAGGUGAAAGCCCGGAGCUCAACUCCGGAACUGCCUUUAAGACUGCAUCGCUUGAAUCAUGGAGAGGUUAGUGGAAUUCCGAGU
RNAcentral lists this ribosomal RNA (520 nucleotides) under uncultured bacterium. RNAcentral's name for it is "bacterial SSU rRNA". It matches the Rfam family "Bacterial small subunit ribosomal RNA", at positions 120 to 674 of the family's 1533-position model. The record is from RNAcentral.